GACGAACGCUGGCGGCGUGCUUAACACAUGCAAGUCGAACGGAAAGGCCCUGCUUUUGUGGGGUGCUCGAGUGGCGAACGGGUGAGUAACACGUGAGUAACCUGCCCUUGACUUUGGGAUAACUUCAGGAAACUGGGGCUAAUACCGGAUAGGAGCUCCUGCUGCAUGGUGGGGGUUGGAAAGUUUCGGCGGUUGGGGAUGGACUCGCGGCUUAUCAGCUUGUUGGUGGGGUAGUGGCUUACCAAGGCUUUGACGGGUAGCCGGCCUGAGAGGGUGACCGGCCACAUUGGGACUGAGAUACGGCCCAGACUCCUACGGGAGGCAGCAGGGGAGAAUAUUGCACAAUGGGCGGAAGCCUGAGGCAGCAACGCCGCGUGCGGGAUGACGGCCUUCGGGUUGUAAACCGCUUUCGCCUGUGACGAAGCGUGAGUGACGGUAAUGGGUAAAGAAGCACCGGCUAACUACGUG
RNAcentral lists this ribosomal RNA (468 nucleotides) under uncultured bacterium. Its description in RNAcentral is "partial 16S ribosomal RNA". It matches the Rfam family "Bacterial small subunit ribosomal RNA", at positions 28 to 507 of the family's 1533-position model. The record is from RNAcentral.